Molecule: non-coding RNA, 1078 nt
Organism: Arachis ipaensis
Lineage: Eukaryota; Viridiplantae; Streptophyta; Magnoliopsida; Fabales; Fabaceae
Source: RefSeq, a predicted model, not a curated record
CGAAGAAAUGAUAAGAACGCGGCAGAGGCUUCAAGUCUGUUUCCUCUUGCGAGUAGCAGAGAUGAAGAACAAUUAGUCAUACGUGACGGUGGCUGUUGAUAUAGCGUCGAGUAGAAAGAAUAGCGGCAACGGUGAGUGGUGUUGCAGCCAUCAGUGAAGAAAGAGCAUCUGACAAUAAGUUGAUGACAUUAAUGUAGAGAACGGAGAAUUCUGAGAUCCUGCCGUCGGUGGUGUUAUAGAGGUAAUUUCUUUAAAAAAAUAGAAAUUUAUUUAUAUAUAUUUUAAGAAAAUAGAAAAAUAUUUAUUUAUGUUUAAUCUGCUUCUGUUUUGGCUGGAGGUUGAGGUUGGACUGGGUUGGGUUGGCAGAGGAGCUAAUGGUGGUACGGCUGAUUUGUAGUGAUUACAACAGCACCCCCUCCAACAGCUUCGAAUCAUCUUCAGCUGGAGCAUAUAAGAUUGCUGAUGAAGCUAAGUUCUUUUCAUUUGGAACUAAUGACCUUACCCAAAUGACAUUUGGGUAUAGUGGAGAUGAUGUUGAAAAAUUUCUUUCCAUUUACCUAUCAAGUGACAUUCUGCAGAGUGAUCCAUUUGAGGUACUUGACCAGAAAAGAGUGGGUCAACUCAUCAAGCUUUGCCCAGAAAAAGUCGUGUUGUCAGACCAAACUUAAAAGGAGGAUUAUGAGUAACUGACUAAUUGAGAUUUUUUAACCAAACAAAUAUUAUUGUAUAAACUUAAAAGCAUGUAGCUCUUCUAUUCUAUGCACUAUUGUACCUCAUCAAGGUGCUGCAGCAAUUAACACCUUCAGUUGGGUUAUCAGGUUGGAAUAUGAGGAGAGCAUGGUGUCAGCCAUCUUCUAUUGCAUUCUUUGCUCAAAUUGACUCUUACAGGGUUCCAAUUGAAAAGCUUGCAGCAGCUCAAGUUGCAGUUUAAAAAAUUUGUUAAUCUGGUGUAAGAGGGUUGAAUGACUAGCUUCUAGAUCUUUUAUUACUCUGUUGUUAGAGCUCCUUUCAGUCCUUAACUGUUUUGUUACAUUUUAGCUUCCAGUCCUUAAGUGCUUCCAUUACUUUAUGGUUUUUG